GAAACUCAAAUGAAUUGACGGGGCCGCACAAGCGGUGGAGCAUGUGGUUUAAUUCGAUGAUACGCGAGGAACCUUACCUGGGCUCAAAUGUAUGUUGACGUAUUCUGAAAGGGAUACUUCUUCGGACAAUAUACAAGGUGCUGCAUGGUUGUCGUCAGCUCGUGCCGUGAGGUGUCGGGUUAAGUCCCAUAACGAGCGCAACCCCUAUCAUUAGUUGCCAUCAGGUCAAGCUGGGGACUCUAAUGAAACUGCCUACGCAAGUAGUGAGGAAGGUGGGGAUGACGUCAAAUCAGCACGGCCCUUACGUCCAGGGCUACACACGUGCUACAAUGGCCGGUACAAAGGGCAGCUACCUGGUGACAGGAUGCAAAUCUCCAAAGUCGGUCUCAGUUCGGAUCGGAGUCUGCAACCCGACUCCGUGAAGUUGGAUUCGCUAGUAAUCGCGCAUCAGCCAUGGCGCGGUGAAUACGUUCCCGGGCCUU
This 482-nucleotide ribosomal RNA is filed under the name uncultured Sphingobacteriales bacterium. RNAcentral's name for it is "bacterial SSU rRNA". It matches the Rfam family "Bacterial small subunit ribosomal RNA", at positions 896 to 1382 of the family's 1533-position model. The record is from RNAcentral. Lineage: Bacteria; Pseudomonadati; Bacteroidota; Sphingobacteriia; Sphingobacteriales.